Long non-coding RNA from Monodelphis domestica (gray short-tailed opossum), 1927 nucleotides. RefSeq lists it as uncharacterized. The record is from RefSeq and is a predicted model, not a curated record. NCBI's taxonomy places the organism in Eukaryota, Metazoa, Chordata, Mammalia, Didelphimorphia, Didelphidae.
GUUAAAGGCCCACAAACCUUGGUUUCCUAUCGCAAGGUAUUUUUGCUCUGACAAUUUUAACAAAAUGCUUAUAAAAACAUUUAACAUUUUUAAAAAUGUAUUGCUUCCUCAGGAAGUGAUACUGAGCUACUGACUGUUUAGAGUUGGAACUUUAGAGAUCAUUUAAUGCAACCACCUCAUUUCCAGAUGAAGAAACAGCUCCAGAAAAGAAAACAACUUGCCAAGGGUAAUAGCACAAUGGUGGAAGAGCCACAAAAGGAACAGAGAACUCUUGGCUCUCAACUCGAUGACCUUGCCAUUGACUUCUAAAUCAUUUUUUUGACAAGUCUAUAUACCCCUGAGAAAACUUAAAGAAGUCCUGGAGUCAUUUUGUAAAUAAUACUAAUUUGUUGCAUUUGUUUAGUGUUUUAUAAUUUUUUAAGUAGUCUCAUAAACACAUUUACUUUUGAUCUUGACAGUAAUUCCUGCUAGCUGUGUGACUCUAAACAAGUCAAUUUAUCUCUCUGGUCCUCAGUUUCUUCAUCCAUAAAAUGGAGAUGAAAUCUGCUCUGUUUACCUUAUGGCUAAUGAUACUAUAAAGAAGUUCCAUUAUAAUGUAUUAAUGACGUCCUGAUUUAAAAAUCAGUAUUUUCAUGAGAUCUUAAUAUUUCAUUUUUCUUUCUUUUAGGAAUAACAUUAAAAUAUAUCCAGCUGUUCCACUUAUCAUAUGCUCUAAUAGAGACUGGAUUCAAUUCCAAGAUAAAUUUCCCAAAAUUUUACUCAUCAAAGAGUUGGACAGUAGUUCCUUGUAAUUCCUGGGCUUUGAUCAAUAUGCAAAGUGACUAGCAAAAUAGCACCUCCCAUUAUGAAAUGGAACUACCUCAGCAAUUGGAUCUUGCAUAAAAGAUGUCACUUAAUGGACCAACACUUGGAUACACAAGGAUAAAUAAGGGAAUUCUACUGCCUGGGCACUGGAAGAAGCAUUAGACUCCUGAAGGUUCACAAAUCCUGUAAAAUAUGUCCAUGGACCCCAGCUUAAUAUCUGCUCUAAGACUGUAAGUUGCAGGUGGAAAGUCAUUUUAUCAAGGUCACAAAUCUAGAGGGGUCAUCCUGGGACUAUGGAAAGAGAAUGUUGCAUAUUAUGUCUGACAGUAUCACUGGACUGAUGUUUUGGCUUCAGCUAUUUUUCUUUGAUACAAGAGAGUUCAAUUGCAGGGAGCAACAAGGAGGGAUCAUAUCUGAAUUCAAAUAAGAAAGUUGGUCUCCAGAUGUGGAAUGUUCUAUGCAUGCACACAGCCAUUCAAAAUCACUACUGACUGCAGUGAAGAGACAUAAGGAAAAUCAGAAAGAAGCAUAGAGAAGGCAGACAACUUGAAAACUACAGAUUGACCUUAUUACAGAUUUAAAAAAGAAAAGCCAAUGUACAGAAUUGAGAUCUACAGCUUCAUGUGUUGUCCUCUAGGUUCUAAUGUGUGUAGGAAAUAUGUGUUUUAUUUGAUGUUUAAAUUCAAAAUAAAAAUAAAAAUUUUUAAACUUGGGGGAAAAACUUAUGAACCCCCAAAUGGAACAUUGACCAGGUGUGUUCUGGUGAAUAUAAUAGUCACUCCUACUUAUAUAUACAAUUUCCUAUGAAAGUCAUCUAAGGAUCAUGUUAAUUUUUUUUUUUUUUUACAACUUUGAGAGUACCAGGAACUCAUGAUCAUGUAGUAAUUUCAGGUUUAAAAGGUCUUUUCUCAUAAUAAACCUUGAGAAAAUAAUGUAAGUAUUAUGAUCCCCAUUUUGCAGAUGAAGAAAAAAAUAAGACUCAGAGAGGUUAAUUUUCUUCCCAAAGUCAGAAUUUAAUUCAUUUUUCUCCUGACUCUCAGUUCAUUGUACUUAUCACCACAUCAUGUUACUUUUCCCACUGCUGACUUAAGAGAAGGAAUGUAAUCAACUAAGCACCCUGCAC